CCUACGGGUGUCAGCAGUGGGGAAUAUUGGGCAAUGGGCGCAAGCCUGACGCAGCAACGCCGCGUGAAGGAAGAAGGCCUUCGGGUCGUAAACUUCUUUUCUCAGGGACGAAGAAUGUGACGGUUCCUGAGGAAUACGCUACGGCUAACUACGCGCCAGCAGCCGCCGUACUACGUGGGUGGCAAGUGUUAUCCGGAUUUCCUGGGUGUAAAGGGCGUGUCGGCGGGAAAGCAAGUCAGGUGGGAAAACCAGGGGCUCAACCUGUGGCCUGCAUUUGAAACUGUUUUGCUAGAGUGCUGGAGAGGCAGACGGAAUUCCUCGUGUAGCGGUGAAAUGCGUAGAUAUGAGGAGGAACACCAGUGGCGAAGGCGGUCUGCUGGACAGCAACUGACGCUGAGGCGCGAAAGCGUGGGGAGCAAACAGGAUUAGAUACCCCGGUAGUC
This 443-nucleotide ribosomal RNA is filed under the name uncultured bacterium. RNAcentral describes it as "partial 16S ribosomal RNA". It matches the Rfam family "Bacterial small subunit ribosomal RNA", at positions 338 to 795 of the family's 1533-position model. The record is from RNAcentral.